GUGUAUGGCCAUGCCACCCUAAACAUGCCGAUCUCAUCUGAUCUCAGAAGCUAAGCAGAGUUGGGCCUGGUUAGUACUUGGAUGGGAGACCACCUAGGAAUACCAGGUGCUAUAGCCA
RNAcentral lists this ribosomal RNA (118 nucleotides) under Pteropus alecto (black flying fox). Lineage: Eukaryota; Metazoa; Chordata; Mammalia; Chiroptera; Pteropodidae. RNAcentral also lists the same sequence under 1 other name. The record is from RNAcentral.